This is a non-coding RNA of Phalacrocorax carbo (great cormorant), 4190 nucleotides long. The record is from RefSeq and is a predicted model, not a curated record. NCBI's taxonomy places the organism in Eukaryota, Metazoa, Chordata, Aves, Suliformes, Phalacrocoracidae.
CGCGGCGUGGGGCGGCGCGGCGCACCUGCGAGCCGCGGGGCGCCGAGGGGGGCGGGCGCCGAGGAGGCGACGGGAGGCGCGGAGGCGACGGGAGGCGCGGAGCGAGCCGGCGCCCGCGCAGCCCGCCCCGGCGUGCCCAGGCGCCGCGGCCCCGAGGAGAUGGAGCAGGAGAAGUACCUGCCCGAGCUGAUGGCAGAGAAGGACAGCCUGGAUCCCUCCUUUGUUCACGCCAUGCGCCUCCUGGCCGACGAAAUUGAAAAAUUUCAGGGUUCUGAAGGCAAGAAAGAAGAUGAAGAAAAGAAAUAUCUUGAUGUUAUCAGCAACAAAAACAUAAAGCUGUCAGAAAGAGUUCUGAUCCCUGUCAAACAAUAUCCAAAGUUCAAUUUUGUUGGGAAAUUGCUUGGACCAAGGGGAAACUCCUUGAAGAGGUUACAAGAAGAAACCGGAGCAAAAAUGUCCAUCCUGGGGAAAGGAUCCAUGAGGGACAAAGCUAAGGAGGAAGAACUAAGGAAAAGUGGAGAAGCCAAAUAUGCACACCUGAGUGAUGAGCUUCACGUAUUAAUUGAAGUGUUUGCUCCACCUGGGGAGGCGUAUUCUCGUAUGAGUCAUGCCUUGGAAGAAAUAAAAAAAUUCCUCGUCCCUGAUUAUAAUGAUGAAAUUCGCCAGGAGCAGCUGAGAGAACUGUCAUAUUUGAACGGCUCUGAGGAUUCAGCACGUGGACGGGGCAUUCGAGGAAGAGGGAUCCGUGUGCCACCUGCAGCACCUUCAAGGGGACGUGGGGGUGCGAUUCCUCCACCCCCACCCGGACGAGGUGCCCAAGCACCCAGAGGAGCACCGGUGACCCGUGGAGCCCUUCCCGUCCCACCAGUGGCAAGGGGCGUGCCCACUCCCCGAGCAAGGGGUGCCCCAGCUGUCCCAGGCUACAGACCACCCCCACCACCUGCACACGAGGCCUAUGAAGAAUAUGGAUACGAUGAUGGAUAUGGGGGUGAAUAUGAUGAUCCAAGCUAUGAGGCAUAUGAUAACAGUUAUGCCACCCAAACACAAAGACAGAGAGCUCUGUCCUUCAUGACAGCAGACUGAUUUUUAGGCUGAAAAUAGGGGGAAGGGGUCACUUGCAGAAGAGACUAUGACAGAGUCUUGGGAUCAGACUGGAAUGAAACCCACAAUAAGUCUGCGUGGCUGAAUGAGCUAAGAGGCACUCCAAGAGCACUUUGAAAUGGACAGAAUAAGCAGCUUGAAGACAGAGAGCAGCAGGACCCCUACUAUGCAGGAACUUUAAAGUCUGUUGAACCACCACUGACCAGGAUCCAUGGGCUGAGAACACUAGAGCACCAGCAGAAAAGGAUGAAAAGUUUUGUGAGAGGAUCUACAAGAUCUGCCUUUUUGGUUACUCAGAGGUUGGUAGGGGAUCAGACUGUACUACGUGCAAGGUGUGGCCAAACUCCUCAGCCAAGACCAACAGAAAAAUUUUGCAGAAAUGGAUCGGUUGCUGAUGAAUCAGCUGAGAACUGUGAUGGCCAGCAGAGCCAUCUUCAGCUCUGCUACCACAUCUAUAGUCAUCUCCACUGACCUUUGUAUCUCUGCUGGCACCAGCAGUUUCAUUUCAAAGGGGUACCAUGUCUCACAACCAAAAGAGAUACUAAGGAAAUCUGGGACUGACUGGCCAGUCAUGGGGCAAACCAGGAAGGGUAUGUUCUAUUUAAUCCUCUUGUGCAUAACUUAUCCAACCACAUGUAGUGUUAACAAUGGUGCCUGACAGGGAAAAGCAAAGGAAAUCAAUGAUGGUCCACUGAAGCUUAAAAUUUCAGUUUGAUAUAAUUUCCUUGUUCUACAGUGCCUGGCAUGAACAUUCACACACCAAUCAGUUCUAUUUUUUUCUGAACAGGUAGUUGGUAUACCGGCAAUGGCUUUCAGGGCUGGUUGGCUGGAUUGUUCUUCUGUCUUUUGUUCUGUCUGGCUUUUGUUAAAAAAAUCAUUCAUCUGCAAAAUGAAUUGCUGAGUGGGUGCUUAGUAAAGAAAGAAGAGUCUGUGGCUCUCAUCCUAGGCUGGAAAUAGACUUGCAAAUAUCAGAAAAUCUGUAACAUACUGACAAGAAUAAUAAAUAAUUCAGUGAUAAAAGAUAGAUUAAAAUAGUGCAAAACAUUACUCUUACACAUGCCAUCCCACAGUGACACAAGCCUUCUCAUGACAUCUAUGCUGUGACUGUAAGAUGACAUUUCUCUUGCCUGCCUGGAUCCAGCCACACUAAUGACAGUAACCCAAUUUUAAGGCCUUGAAGUAAUUUCUGGCAAAAUAUUUACUGUUAAUCUUGCAAAUGUUUUAUGUAAUUCUAUAGGCAACAGUCCUCUGGACACACCUUCUAUGCUGCUAUGCAGAUCGUUUUGGGACAAUGACUUCUUUUUAGUCUGUCAAGUGCGCGGUGCAAACCCAUCCUGCAUCUGCUAAGCAAACAACCAAACUUCUGCUUCUGAUGCAGAAAUGCGUGUUACAGGUCAUGUCACUUCUGAACUUCCUCUCUAAAGAGUUAACGGUAACACAGAAUCUAAAUCUUAACAUAAAGGUGAUAUUAAUACAUCUGAAAUAAAUUCUAAGUUUUUACAUUAUCUGAAGGCUACACGUAUUGUGUUAGAUAACUGCCAAAACGAAAUUAUCUUAGAGGACUGAAGAAGAGAGAAAGGAAAGGUGCAGCAUCAGAGAAUUUCAAGUUGACUGGCAUACCUUUCAUCUACCUGAAUUAUAUUUAAACCAAGAGAUACAAUUAUCCGUGGUUCAUACCAAUAGCUGUGCUGUCAUGUGCAAAGAUCCAUUUGGUUCCUGUUUCUCAAUGCUAGUAAAAAAAAAUAUAAUGAGAGAAAAAAGUUUCAGGGCAUAUAUGCUUCCUAUGUCCACUUUCCUGCUAUGGCAGACAGUUGCUAUGACCGCAUCAGUGUAGUAGUAUGCCAGUGACUAUGUGUUCAUAGCAAUACCUAUCAAUUCAACCUGUAAUAGGCUCUGCAAUUCUGAAAAUUUCAAAAUUAGACUAUUGAGAUUGAAUAUAUGACAAGUUAUUGACUUUGAAAAGAAACACUGUUUUCCUGGUUAUUCUUGUGUCCAUUGUUAAGUUCAUGCUGUCUACUGUACAGCUUGUGUUUACAGCUCCUUUUUCUGCAGUGUGGGCUGCUAGUACAGGGGAUCUAGGGAUCACUUAUUUCUGAUUGGAUAUGCAGGAAUAUAACAAGGACCGCAGUUCAGCCUGUGCCACGUAAUUGCUUACAGUACAAUCACUUCAGUGCAGAGACAUGCUGCAAAAUUAUUUAGGAAGUAAAGGAAAGGAUGUUUUUAUCCAGAUGAAUAUCCAGGAAUUAUUUACAUCAGCAGUGUAUAUUUGCUUGAGCUCCAGUUGAUCCUGGUUACCCUUGCUUGACCUCCAGGUAUCAAGACUUUGUACGUACAUCUGUUUGCAAAGAUGAGUUCUUCACAGUGCUGCAAGUAAAAUAACACUUUUAGACUCAUUCACUUGUGAAGACAGCAGUACAUAGUUCUGCUGAACAUACAUGUUCUCUGAUGGACCUACCCAAUAGACUAUUCUUCUCUCCAAGCUCCUUUUGGAUUCAGCAAAAAAUGAUGGCCCUAUGUUUCAGUAACAGAAAUUUAGUAUUAACGUUAGGAGGGAGUGAAGAAUAGUAACAUGGGACUGGAGUGCUUGGUAAUCUCCAUCACCGUAGCUUUUAACACCACAUUAGACAGAUUUCAGUAAAGAAUCAUGUAAAUAAAUUUGUGUGCUUAUAGGUAUCUGAAAAGAUCUAGGUGACAUCUGAGGUCCUUUCUAGCUCUGUUACCUUUUCCCCUUUUUGUUCAGGCAUGACGAGGUUUACUUCAAGAUAACAACACAGCAUAAUCUAAUUGGACUAAGGAAGAUUUUUUGUUACAAAUAAAAAGAAAGUAACCCCAUUUUCAAACUCCAUUUUUAUUUGUGGGGGUUUUAUGACUGAUAGAAAUCUUUUUAGGAACAACUAAAAUAAUUCUCAUGUUUCAAGCACUAAAAAAAGUAAAUGUAUUUUUAAUAGAGUAGGAUAUUGACUUUGUCAUGUUGUGUUAAAUUACAGCAAAUAAUUCUAGUCCAUUCAUUCAGGAUGAUCUCAUAAUAAAGAUAUCGUGUCUUAAUUUUUCACAGGUAACAUUUUCAUCUAGAUACACAAAUGUACGCA